Molecule: ribosomal RNA, 508 nt
Filed under: uncultured Glomus
Lineage: Eukaryota; Fungi; Glomeromycota; Glomeromycetes; Glomerales; Glomeraceae
Description: SSU rRNA
Rfam family: Eukaryotic small subunit ribosomal RNA
Source: RNAcentral
AGCAGCCGCGGUAAUUCCAGCUCCAAUAGCGUAUAUUAAAGUUGUUGCAGUUAAAAAGCUCGUAGUUGAAUUUCGGGGUCAAUAAGUUGGUCGUGCCAAUGGUAUGCACUGGCUUUAUUGAUUCCUACCUCUUGACGAACUGUGAUGCCAUUAAUUUGGUGUCGCAAGGAAUCAGGACUGUUACCUUGAAAAAAUUAGAGUGUUUAAAGCAGGCUUACGCUUGAAUACAUUAGCAUGGAAUAAUGAAAUAGGACGUUUGAACCUAUUUUGUUGGUUUCUAGGAUCGACGUAAUGAUUAAUAGGGAUAGUUGGGGACAUUAGUAUUCAAUUGUCAGAGGUGAAAUUCUUGGAUUUAUUGAAGACUAACUACUGCGAAAGCAUUUGCCAAGGAUGUUUUCAUUAAUCAAGAACGAAAGUUAGGGGAUCGAAGACGAUCAGAUACCGUCGUAGUCUUAACCAUAAACUAUGCCGACUAGGGAUCGGAUGAUGUUAAUUUUUUAAUGACUCA